ACGACGCUGGCGGCGUGCUUAACACAUGCAAGUCGAACGAUGACGAUGGUGCUUGCACCGUCUGAUUAGUGGCGAACGGGUGAGUAACACGUGAGUAACCUGCCCUCCCCUUCGGGAUAACCGCCGGAAACGGUGGCUAAUACCGGAUAUGAAUGUCUGCCGCAUGGUGGGUGUUGGAAAGAUUUAUCGGUGGGGGAUGGACUCGCGGCCUAUCAGUUUGUUGGUGACGGUAAUGGCUCACCAAGGCGAUGACGGGUAGCCGGCCUGAGAGGGCGACCGGCCACACUGGGACUGAGACACGGCCCAGACUCCUACGGGAGGCAGCAGUGGGGAAUAUUGCACAAUGGGCGAAAGCCUGAUGCAGCGACGCCGCGUGGGGGAUGACGGCCUUCGGGUUGUAAACCUCUUUCAGCAGGGAAGAAGCGAGAGUGACGGUACCUGCAGAAGAAGCGCCGGCUAACUACGUGCCAGCCGCCGC
This 478-nucleotide ribosomal RNA is filed under the name uncultured bacterium. Its description in RNAcentral is "bacterial SSU rRNA". It matches the Rfam family "Bacterial small subunit ribosomal RNA", at positions 33 to 518 of the family's 1533-position model. The record is from RNAcentral.